UCCUACGGGAGGCAGCAGUGGGGAAUCUUGCACAAUGGGGGAAACCCUGAUGCAGCGAUGCCGCGUGAGUGAAGAAGGCCCUUGGGUUGUAAAACUCUUUCGUCGGGGAAGAAAAUGACUAUACCCGAAUAAGAAGGUCCGGUUAACUUCGUGCCAGCAGCCGCGGUAAUACGAAGGGACCUAGCGUAGUUCGGAAUUACUGGGCUUAAAGAGCUCGUAGGUGGUUAAAAAAGUUGAUGGUGAAAUCCCAAGGCUCAACCUUGGAACUGCCAUCAAAACUUUUUAGCUAGAGUGUGAUAGAGGUAAGUGGAAUUUCUAGUGUAGAGGUGAAAUUCGUAGAUAUUAGAAAGAACACCAAAUGCGAAGGCAACUUACUGGGUCACUACUGACACUGAGGAACGAAAGCGUGAGGAGCAAACAGGAUUAGAUACCCUGGUAGUCCACGCUGUAAACGAUGAGUGCUAGGCGUCGCGGGUAUUGACCCCUGCGGUGCCGUAGUUAACGCGUUAAGCACUCCGCCUGGGGAGUACGGCCGCAAGGUUAAAACUCAAAGGAAUUGACGG
This 563-nucleotide ribosomal RNA is filed under the name uncultured bacterium. Its description in RNAcentral is "bacterial SSU rRNA". It matches the Rfam family "Bacterial small subunit ribosomal RNA", at positions 337 to 916 of the family's 1533-position model. The record is from RNAcentral.